GCACCAUUAGUUCAGUGGUAGAACACCAGCUUCCCAAGCUGGUUAUACGGGUUCGAUUCCCGCAUGGUGCUCCA
RNAcentral lists this transfer RNA (74 nucleotides) under Bacilli bacterium. RNAcentral's name for it is "tRNA-Gly". It matches the Rfam family "tRNA". From Rfam's summary of the family: Transfer RNA (tRNA) molecules are approximately 80 nucleotides in length. Their secondary structure includes four short double-helical elements and three loops (D, anti-codon, and T loops). Further hydrogen bonds mediate the characteristic L-shaped molecular structure. tRNAs have two regions of fundamental functional importance: the anti-codon, which is responsible for specific mRNA codon recognition, and the 3' end, to which the tRNAs corresponding amino acid is attached (by aminoacyl-tRNA synthetases). tRNAs cope with the degeneracy of the genetic code in two manners: having more than one tRNA (with a specific anti-codon) for a particular amino acid; and 'wobble' base-pairing, i.e. permitting non-standard base-pairing at the 3rd anti-codon position. The record is from RNAcentral. Lineage: Bacteria; Bacillati; Bacillota; Bacilli.